GGUGAUCUAGCCAUGGGCAGGUUGAAGGUUGGGUAACACUAACUGGAGGACCGAACCGACUAAUGUUGAAAAAUUAGCGGAUGACUUGUGGCUGGGGGGGAAAGGCCAAUCAAACCGGGAGAUAGCUGGUUCUCCCCGAAAGCUAUUUAGGUAGCGCCUCGUGAAUUCAUCUCCGGGGGUAGAGCACUGUUUCGGCAAGGGGGUCAUCCCGACUUACCAACCCGAUGCAAACUGCGAAUACCGGAGAAUGUUAUCACGGGAGACACACGGCGGGUGCUAACGUCCGUCGUGAAGAGGGAAACAACCCAGACCGCCAGCUAAGGUCCCAAAGUCAUGGUUAAGUGGGAAACGAUGUGGGAAGGCCCAGACAGCCAGGAUGUUGGCUUAGAAGCAGCCAUCAUUUAAAGAAAGCGUAAUAGCUCACUGGUCGAGUCGGCCUGCGCGGAAGAUGUAACGGGGCUAAACCAUGCACCGAAGCUGCGGCAGCGACGCUUAUGCGUUGUUGGGUAGGGGAGCGUUCUGUAAGCCUGUGAAGGUGUACUGUGAGGUAUGCUGGAGGUAUCAGAAGUGCGAAUGCUGACAUAAGUAACGAUAAAGCGGGUGAAAAGCCCGCUCGCCGGAAGACCAAGGGUUCCUGUCCAACGUUAAUCGGGGCAGGGUGAGUCGACCCCUAAGGCGAGGCCGAAAGGCGUAGUCGAUGGGAAACAGGUUAAUAUUCCUGUACUUGGUGUUACUGCGAAGGGGGGACGGAGAAGGCUAUGUUGGCCGGGCGACGGUUGUCCCGGUUUAAGCGUGUAGGCUGGUUUUCCAGGCAAAUCCGGAAAAUCAAGGCUGAGGCGUGAUGACGAGGCACUACGGUGCUGAAGCAACAAAUGCCCUGCUUCCAGGAAAAGCCUCUAAGCAUCAGGUAACAUCAAAUCGUACCCCAAACCGACACAGGUGGUCAGGUAGAGAAUACCAAGGCGCUUGAGAGAACUCGGGUGAAGGAACUAGGCAAAAUGGUGCCGUAACUUCGGGAGAAGGCACGCUGAUAUGUAGGUGAAGCGACUUGCUCGUGGAGCUGAAAUCAGUCGAAGAUACCAGCUGGCUGCAACUGUUUAUUAAAAACACAGCACUGUGCAAACACGAAAGUGGACGUAUACGGUGUGACGCCUGCCCGGUGCCGGAAGGUUAAUUGAUGGGGUCAGCGCAAGCGAAGCUCUUGAUCGAAGCCCCGGUAAACGGCGGCCGUAACUAUAACGGUCCUAAGGUAGCGAAAUUCCUUGUCGGGUAAGUUCCGACCUGCACGAAUGGCGUAAUGAUGGCCAGGCUGUCUCCACCCGAGACUCAGUGAAAUUGAACUCGCUGUGAAGAUGCAGUGUACCCGCGGCAAGACGGAAAGACCCCGUGAACCUUUACUAUAGCUUGACACUGAACAUUGAGCCUUGAUGUGUAGGAUAGGUGGGAGGCUUAGAAGUGUGGACGCCAGUCUGCAUGGAGCCGACCUUGAAAUACCACCCUUUAAUGUUUGAUGUUCUAACGUUGACCCGUAAUCCGGGUUGCGGACAGUGUCUGGUGGGUAGUUUGACUGGGGCGGUCUCCUCCUAAAGAGUAACGGAGGAGCACGAAGGUUGGCUAAUCCUGGUCGGACAUCAGGAGGUUAGUGCAAUGGCAUAAGCCAGCUUGACUGCGAGCGUGACGGCGCGAGCAGGUGCGAAAGCAGGUCAUAGUGAUCCGGUGGUUCUGAAUGGAAGGGCCAUCGCUCAACGGAUAAAAGGUACUCCGGGGAUAACAGGCUGAUACCGCCCAAGAGUUCAUAUCGACGGCGGUGUUUGGCACCUCGAUGUCGGCUCAUCACAUCCUGGGGCUGAAGUAGGUCCCAAGGGUAUGGCUGUUCGCCAUUUAAAGUGGUACGCGAGCUGGGUUUAGAACGUCGUGAGACAGUUCGGUCCCUAUCUGCCGUGGGCGCUGGAGAACUGAGGGGGGCUGCUCCUAGUACGAGAGGACCGGAGUGGACGCAUCACUGGUGUUCGGGUUGUCAUGCCAAUGGCACUGCCCGGUAGCUAAAUGCGGAAGAGAUAAGUGCUGAAAGCAUCUAAGCACGAAACUUGCCCCGAGAUGAGUUCUCCCUGAC
Molecule: ribosomal RNA, 2113 nt
Filed under: Escherichia coli 2-177-06_S3_C1
Lineage: Bacteria; Pseudomonadati; Pseudomonadota; Gammaproteobacteria; Enterobacterales; Enterobacteriaceae
Description: bacterial LSU rRNA
Rfam family: Bacterial large subunit ribosomal RNA
Source: RNAcentral